AUGAUUUCAAUCUCCAACAAGUUCACCACUUUUGAUCCAAUCAAUGUCUUUUAGACUCUGGGGCUGAAUCAUUCUAUUGUAAAAUGUUGAAGUUGGAAGGGAUUGUGGACCAGUUUACAGUUUCUCUCAAGGCUUGGAUUCUGCUCGGAAAAAGGAGUCUCCCUAACUCUAAUCAACUUUCAGGCGAUCAAGAGAGUUUGAUUAUAAGAACAAGCACAUGAGAGGCAGG
Long non-coding RNA from Papaver somniferum (opium poppy), 229 nucleotides. RefSeq lists it as uncharacterized. Lineage: Eukaryota; Viridiplantae; Streptophyta; Magnoliopsida; Ranunculales; Papaveraceae. The record is from RefSeq and is a predicted model, not a curated record. The transcript is spliced from 3 exons.